Molecule: ribosomal RNA, 254 nt
Filed under: uncultured prokaryote
Description: partial 16S ribosomal RNA
Rfam family: Bacterial small subunit ribosomal RNA
Source: RNAcentral
GACGAACCGUGCGAACGUUAUUCGGAAUCACUGGGCUUAAAGCGCGCGUAGGCGGGGCGGUGCGUCGGACGCUGAAAUCCCCCGGCUCAACCGGGGAACGGGCGCCGAAACGACCAUCCUGGAGGGACGUAGGGGGACCUGGAACUUCCGGUGGAGCGGUGAAAUGCGUAGAUAUCGGGAGGAACACCAGUGGCGAAGGCGAUCAUCUGGGGUUAUUCUGACGCUGAGGAGCGAAAGCCAGGGGAGCAAACGGG